GGUGGUGGUAUUACAUAUGUAGAAGAUUCCACUUUGACAUUGUUUUGGUAACAAUUUUUAUUUGUUUCUUACCCUUUUAAAGUGUUCUGCUUCAUCUGAGCACCCCAGGAAUCCUCCACCGAUAUCGAGCAGCUCGAAACAGAAGCCGAGCUCUUCUGCCAUGUCAAAGGCUUUUGCUGCCAUUGUGAUUGCGGCUGAGUAGGCCUCAGGCUCCAUCACACCGGUUCCGACGUUGAAGCUGUAAAACAAAAGUGUCUGGGCCCACACUUGAUCACCUCUCUCCUAAGGACCGCUCACCUGAUGCCGAUGACGUCGAGUUGUAGUUGCUGUGCCUUCAGAAGCAGGUGUGGAACAUCCUCAAGAUAUUGUAUGUUUACUUGUGUGCAGUACGAAGUGUGUGAAAGUGUGGUCGCAUUUUCAGUGAAGCCACUUCUGUUUAGUAUCGAUGCACAUUUGAGGAGGUUAGUGAGGUCACGUGGUGUCUACUACUAACCGAGAUCGUGGGAAAGCUUCUUGGAUUUUCUGCAGCUCAGCCUCGUUGUCAAAAGUCAUCAUCUCCACACCUUUAGAGUUAGCGAAAUGGAUGAAGGAGGUUUGUUUGCAUGGAUUGGCAAACACGAUACGGGAAGGUUCAACACCCAUCGCAACUCUGCACACGGAAGACGGAGUAACACUGAAAGAAAGUGAACUCUGUGCACCAAAUGCCUCACCUAACGACGAAGGUAAGCCCCAUCAGUCGAGGGCACAGUGACCAGCUAACAAGCAGGAAGUAGAAGGGAAGAGUUUCAGGACACGGGGAGGGUGGCUUUGGUGGACGGGACGGGACUGGUUGGGGUGAGUACCUAGGAUGAAUACCAACCUCAUCUUUCUCUCUUCUGUACUGAGUGGGAAGAAGUUCCUCAGUUAUAUUGUCUUUUUGGCUUGUAUUGAUACAAGUGGUAAAGAGUGGCUGAGUUAGUGACUGUAAAGCUUACCAAAACAUUCCAUUGGGCGAGGGGAUCCGUUAAAGUUGUAUAUAAUAAUCUUUAGUAUUAAUCAUGUCACAAUCACGCCUGGUGACGUCUGUAGACGAGAAGGCGACGGGGAAAAAAAUCUGACUAAGCCUCUGCUAUAGGUGUGAAAGGAAGAAUGCUACACGUGAUGCACAUUCACCUAAGUUAUAAUGUUCCUUCGUCACCAAAAAUCGUUCUUUACGGAUCGACUGGCAUUGUCUGUGGACUUGUCGAAUGACUGCUAAUUGUUUUGACUGCAUGUGCGCUAACGAAUGCAAAUCUGCUGAGUCCUGAGAAAGGCCACGACAAACAUGACUAGUGAUAAUAUGUAAGCCUAUGUUUAUUAUGCAACUUUACUGUUUAAAUUGUGGAAUGCUGGUCAGUAAAAUGACUGAACACAAGUGAACAAGGAGAUUAUGAUCACAUUUACUCUGAUAAUACAAACCUGACCCUAAGGGUUAUUUCUAUCUGCAAUUUCAACUCAUAUAUAAAAGCACACACUAAAUAUGUUUUAUCUGAGUUGUAUAUCUAUGCUGUCGCUAAGGUAAAGAAUUCAACGGGAUUAACAGGGUUACUAGACGGGAAACAUUUAAGCGCAAUUGCUUUUUCUUACUUGGGUGAGUGUAAUAUAGGACAGGCUACAGAGGGGAUAAAUUAGGACCAAUGUCUACAACCGUUUUCAGAAAAUUGUGUCAAGGAGACACUUUCCACCAGUCUGCCAACAAAAAAAAAAAAAAUAAAAAAAAAAUAAAUAAAUAAAAUAAAAGUACAAAUAGCAAGCGCUGAAUAAUGACGAGGAAAAAAAAGGUCAUGUCACGAUCUUUUUGCUGUUCUUUUGUGUCAAGUUAACCUCACAUUUAAAAUGAGGUCAGGCUAAUUAGAGGCUGUGAGGUUCGCUGAAGCAUAACUUCAAGGUUCCUAAAACUUGUUUUUGUUAUCAUUCUAAAACUCUGCAAGGGUUAGAAUUUCUGAACAGGAGUUGGAUGAACGAGAGGUUGUGUCUGUUUAAAAAAACACUUUCUCCUGUCUGUGCGGGUGGAUUAAAACUUUUUGUGAGACAUUGAUUAUAGCUUGAGUUUUCAAUUUUUUCCUUAAAUCUUCAAUACAAUUGUAAUAAAAAUGGCUCUAAGCCAAAACAACUGGUGAGGGCUCUACUAUAAAUUCUCAUGUAAUCACUUUUGUAGAAAGCGGCUGAACUGUGUUGUUCUGUGGCGGUGGUACGUUUGUGUUUUCUGUGCUCUUUUGCUUUUAACAAAGACAAAUGGUCAUUAAAAUGACAACCGAAGUAAAGAAAAAAAAGAAAACUAGCACCGACGAAAGUACGUUUAGCACCUCCAAACACAUACAAACACACACAAACUGUAGAAUUCGAAAUGACAGCAGGACAACAAUGCGAGUGAAAACGUAAAUAACAAUAGAAGUGGCUUCUAUAGCCUCGUAUAUCGACCCUAAGCUUAAAGCGCUUCACAAAAUAAUAAACAAAAUUCUUUGCAGCACAUUCUACAGAAGUUGUCAUAUAAUAAUAAUACUGAAAGAGAGAAUUCUAGCAGUAAGAUUCUCAGGAUAGUUUACAAUCACUAAGAUAUAGCCAGAUUCUAUUCAGGAAUUUCGGACGGGAGUACUGGAGACAAAAAUCAUAGACUGUUCACUAGCUGUAUACACAAGGUUUGUGUGACAAGAGCUCUAUACACAAGAUAUAUGUGA
Molecule: long non-coding RNA, 2696 nt
Filed under: Pomacea canaliculata
Lineage: Eukaryota; Metazoa; Mollusca; Gastropoda; Architaenioglossa; Ampullariidae
Description: uncharacterized LOC112568485, transcript variant X2
Source: RNAcentral